AUUGAACGCUGGCGGCAUGCUUUACACAUGCAAGUCGAACAGUAACAGGGUGCUUGCACCGCUGACGAGUGGCGAACGGGUGAGUAAUGCGUCGGAACGUGCCGAGUAGUGGGGGAUAACGCAGCGAAAGUUGUGCUAAUACCGCAUACGUACUGAGGUAGAAAGUGGGGGACCUUCGGGCCUCACGCUAUUCGAGCGGCCGACGUCUGAUUAGCUAGUGGGUGAGGUAAAGGCUCACCUAGGCGACGAUCAGUAGCGGGUCUGAGAGGAUGAUCCGCCACACUGGGACUGAGACACGGCCCAGACCCCGACGGGAGGCAGCAGUGGGGAAUUUUGGACAAUGGGCGAAAGCCUGAUCCAGCCAUGCCGCGUGUCUGAAGAAGGCCUUCGGGUUGUAAAGGACUUUCGUCAGGGAGGAAAUCCCUAGUGCUAAUAACACUGGGGGAUGACAGUACCUGAAGAAUAAGCACCGGCUAACUACGUGCCAGCAGCCGCCGUAA
Molecule: ribosomal RNA, 500 nt
Filed under: uncultured bacterium
Lineage: Bacteria
Description: partial 16S ribosomal RNA
Rfam family: Bacterial small subunit ribosomal RNA
Source: RNAcentral